Macadamia integrifolia is the source of this 2644-nucleotide RNA transcript. It is a transcript of the gene named pentatricopeptide repeat-containing protein At3g06430, chloroplastic, with no coding region annotated. Lineage: Eukaryota; Viridiplantae; Streptophyta; Magnoliopsida; Proteales; Proteaceae. The record is from RefSeq and is a predicted model, not a curated record. The transcript is spliced from 3 exons.
UCACGAGUGACUAAUUUUAUCCAGGUCUCCGGCACGAUGGGUACAAUCACUAUUCAGUGUUUAAUGUAUCACCGGUGAGCUCCUCAGUUCGCUCACAGUCUUCCGAUGGCGUCUCUGUCUCUUUCCUUUACUUCUUCUUCUGCUUCUUCUCUUUGUCCAUCCUCACUUUCCCUAUUUCUAGUGGAGAAGAAGAGCAAAGAAAAAGCUAGGAUGGUCGAAGAUUACGACAAUUUUGGGUUUCCCCGCUGCGCAUUCGCUUCGCCUGUGAGAAAUGGAGCAGCAUCUGCUCCUUCCUCAUCAUCUUCGUCGGUCCGUACGGGUGGCCCUAAACGUGAUCCUCCUGCUAAGAAGCGUCUCUGGAAGGAAGGAGAGUUCCCUGGGAUUUCUGAAGCUUCGGUGCCCAGACCUUCAAGAACGCCCAUCAAGAAUGUUAAGAAGAAGGUUGAUAAAAAGAACAACGCUAAGGCCUGGGUGAACACAGUCACCGAAGCAUUGGCUGAACGAAUUCAGAAGAAGCAAUGGGAAGGUGCCCUACAGGUUUUUGAGAUGCUCAAAGAACAAUCUUUUUAUCAACCAAAGGAGGGCACUUACAUGAAACUCUUGGUUCUCCUUGGUAAAUCGGGCCAACCUCAUCGGGCUAGUCAACUCUUUGAGACAAUGGUUGAAGAAGGAUGUGAACCCACCCCAGAACUCUACACGGCAUUACUCGCAGCUUAUUGCCGUAGCAACCUUCUUGAUGAAGCAUUCUCAGUUCUCAACCAAAUGAAGACCCUACCCCGUUGCCAGCCUGAUGUCUUUACUUACAGCAUCCUCAUAAAGGCUUGUGUAGAUGCAUUACGGUUUGAACUAGUUGACUCCCUGUAUGAAGAAAUGGAUGAUCGCUUAAUAACUCCCAACACAGUGACACAAAACAUAGUCUUAAAUGGCUACGGAAAGGCUGGUAAAUAUGACCGGAUGGAGAAAGUGCUACAUGGCAUGCUUGAGAGCACUACCUCCAAACCUGAUGUCUGGACCAUGAACACUAUUCUAAGCUUAUUUGGAAACAAGGGUCAGAUUGAGAUGAUGGAGAGAUGGUAUGAGAAGUUCCGCACCUAUGGAAUUGAGCCAGAAACACGCACUUUCAAUAUUCUGAUCGGUGCUUAUGGGAAGAAAAGAAUGUACGAUAAGAUGUCAUCUGUGAUGGAGUACAUGCGCAAGCUGUCCUUUCCCUGGACAACCUCGACUUACAACAAUGUGAUUGAGGCCUUUGCAGAUGUUGGGGAUGCAAAAAACAUGGAAUAUACAUUUGACCAAAUGCGUGCAGAGGGAAUGAAAGUGGACACAAAAACUUUCAGCUGCCUUAUUAAUGGGUACGCUAAUGCUGGUCUCUUCCAUAAGGUGUUGAGCAGUGUUCGUUUGGCUGGUAAGUUGGAAAUACCUGAGAAUACUUCGUUCUAUAAUGCAGUAAUUUCUGCAUGUGCAAAAUCAGAUGAUUUGAUGGAGAUGGAAAGAGUUUUCAAGCGUAUGAAGGAGAAGCACUGUCCGCCUAAUUCAUCAACUUACUCCAUUAUGGUGGAGGCAUACGGAAAAGAAGGUAUGAAUGACAAGAUCUUUGAUUUAGAGCAGGAGAAAAAAGAGAUGGUUGCCAAUGGCUUAGAAAUUGACUGAGGGUAGUGGGAACGGACUUAGCUGGGUGAGAUCUGAUAGAUAAUACAGAAUGGAACUGCUUGCUGUUGGAGACAGUUUUUGCUUGGAACAAACUGAAUUGCCUUUCAAAAGUUAUGCUGGGCUUCAUUAGAAGACUUGGCAAUGUAAUCAGGGAUGACAUCUUAUCAACACUUUAAAUAGCUGCCCCUGGGCCGCAAAAUAAAUCAUCCCAUGCCAACGGAUAAUGGCAAUAGACCUGUGUUUCACUGCCGUAGGCUUUCUCUGUUUGAUGUCUUCUUCUGCCUGUCGGAGGAAUUUCACAUGUUGUCCAAAUUUCAGUGUGUCCAUUGUGAAGGAAAAGAGACGAAGCUGGUUGGGUGGAUUUUCUCGAAAAGUUCAGGGUAUGUUGGGUUAUUGGAUCAGCAAUGGGGAGAAUAAUAAUAUGGGGGAAAGAAAAUUGGAUUGAAGUGUAUGAAACUACCUAUGGUGACUCUGGAUACUUAAAUUCCAAGAGAAAAAGGUUGCUUUGGUCUGAAUAAAGUAGAUUUUAAUGUAAAAUUUUAUUCAGAAUAUGAAAUCCUUGCACUGAAAAGUGCAACUUGUUAAAACUAGGAUUCAGUUUGUAGCUGACAAAACAGAUAACUAAUAUAUUUGAUGUGUUCCUAGAAAACCCUAACAUCCCACAUGCUCCACAGUCCAACCAACAGAAAAAAAAUCUGUUGCUGCUGAAGUUUCCCCCUUUUACCCAAAAUGUUGUCAAAGACGGUAAAUUGAGAAUGUCAUGUUAACCCACAGCAAAUAAAUUAAGUAUAGGUGAUAUUUUUGUUCAGUUUCCAUUGAAUGAUUUGACCAGUUUUACUCUUCUUUUGGUUGAUUUCCCCAAGCAAGUUUUAAAUUUUAGAGAGCAACAACCUUAAAAUUGUAGGGUGAUGUGUAACCUGCUCAGGAUGAUCAGUUUGGAUGGGAAGUAUUGAAUUAGACUGUAUUUGGAACUUGAAGGUUGAGACUUCAUUGUGUU